CUGUAAACGAUGUCGAUUUGGAGUUUGGGGGCAUGACCCUUGGGCUCCGGAGCUAACGCGUUAAAUCGACCGCUGGGGAGUACGGCCGCAAGGUUAAAACUCAAAUGAAUUGACGGGGGCCCGCACAAGCGGUGGAGCAUGUGGUUUAAUUCGAUGCAACGCGAAGAACCUUACCUGGUCUUGACAUCCAUAGAAUCUUUCAGAGAUGAGAGAGUGCCUUCGGGAGCUAUGAGACAGGUGCUGCAUGGCUGUCGUCAGCUCGUGUUGUGAAAUGUUGGGUUAAGUCCCGCAACGAGCGCAACCCCUAUCCUUUGUUGCCAGCACGUAAUGGUGGGAACUCAAAGGAGACUGCCGUUGAUAAAGCGGAGGAAGGUGGGGACGACGUCAAGUCAUCAUGGCCCUUACGACCAGGGCUACACACGUGCUACAAUGGCGUAUACAAAGGGAUGCGAAGGUGCGAACUGGAGCGGACCUCGCAAAGUACGUCUAAGUCCGGAUUGGAGUCUGCAACUCGACUCCAUGAAGUCGGAAUCGCUAGUAAUCGUGAAUCAGAAUGUCACGGUGAAUACGUUCCCGGGCCUUGUACACACCGCCCGUCACACCAUGGGAGUGGGUUGCACCAGAAGUAGAUAGCUUAACCUUCGGGAGGGCGUUUACCACGGUGUGGUUCAUGACUGGGGUGAAGUCGUAACAAGGUAACCA
RNAcentral lists this ribosomal RNA (702 nucleotides) under uncultured Enterobacteriaceae bacterium. Its description in RNAcentral is "bacterial SSU rRNA". It matches the Rfam family "Bacterial small subunit ribosomal RNA", at positions 800 to 1502 of the family's 1533-position model. The record is from RNAcentral. Lineage: Bacteria; Pseudomonadati; Pseudomonadota; Gammaproteobacteria; Enterobacterales; Enterobacteriaceae.